UACGGAGGGUGCGAGCGUUGUCCGGAAUCAUUGGGCGUAAAGGGCGCGUAGGUGGCCCGGUCAGUUCGUGGUGAAAGCGCGGGGCUCAACCCUGCGUCGGCCAUGAAUACUGCCGCGGCUGGAGCACUGUAGAGGCAGGCGGAAUUCCGGGUGUAGCGGUGGAAUGCGUAGAGAUCCGGAAGAACACCGGUGGCGAAGGCGGCCUGACUGG
Molecule: ribosomal RNA, 211 nt
Filed under: uncultured bacterium
Lineage: Bacteria
Description: partial 16S ribosomal RNA
Rfam family: Bacterial small subunit ribosomal RNA
Source: RNAcentral